GACGAACGCUGGCGGCGUGCUUAACACAUGCAAGUCGAACGGAAAGGCCCUGCUUUUGUGGGGUGCUCGAGUGGCGAACGGGUGAGUAACACGUGAGUAACCUGCCCUUGACUUUGGGAUAACUUCAGGAAACUGGGGCGAAUACCGGAUAGGAGCUCCUGCUGCAUGGUGGGGGUUGGAAAGUUUCGGCGGUUGGGGAUGGACUCGCGGCUUAUCAGCUUGUUGGUGGGGUAGUGGCUUACCAAGGCUUUGACGGGUAGCCGGCCUGAGAGGGUGACCGGCCACAUUGGGCCUGCGAUACGGCCCAGACUCCUACGGGCGGCAGCAGUGGGGAAUAUUGCACAAUGGGCGGAAGCCUGAUGCAGCAACGCCGCGUGCGGGAUGACGGCCUUCGGGUUGUAAACCGCUUUCGCCUGUGACGAAGCGUGAGUGACGGUAAUGGGUAAAGAAGCACCGGCUAACUACGUG
RNAcentral lists this ribosomal RNA (468 nucleotides) under uncultured bacterium. RNAcentral's name for it is "partial 16S ribosomal RNA". It matches the Rfam family "Bacterial small subunit ribosomal RNA", at positions 28 to 507 of the family's 1533-position model. The record is from RNAcentral.